Molecule: ribosomal RNA, 560 nt
Filed under: Massilia agri
Lineage: Bacteria; Pseudomonadati; Pseudomonadota; Betaproteobacteria; Burkholderiales; Oxalobacteraceae
Description: bacterial SSU rRNA
Rfam family: Bacterial small subunit ribosomal RNA
Source: RNAcentral
UGGGGGGGCCUUUCGGGAGGCAGCAGUGGGGAAUUUUGGACAAUGGGCGCAAGCCUGAUCCAGCAAUGCCGCGUGAGUGAAGAAGGCCUUCGGGUUGUAAAGCUCUUUUGUCAGGGAAGAAACGGCUGCGGCUAAUAUCCGCGGCUAAUGACGGUACCUGAAGAAUAAGCACCGGCUAACUACGUGCCAGCAGCCGCGGUAAUACGUAGGGUGCAAGCGUUAAUCGGAAUUACUGGGCGUAAAGCGUGCGCAGGCGGUUUUGUAAGUCUGACGUGAAAGCCCCGGGCUCAACCUGGGAAUUGCGUUGGAGACUGCAAGGCUUGAAUCUGGCAGAGGGGGGUAGAAUUCCACGUGUAGCAGUGAAAUGCGUAGAGAUGUGGAGGAACACCGAUGGCGAAGGCAGCCCCCUGGGUCAAGAUUGACGCUCAUGCACGAAAGCGUGGGGAGCAAACAGGAUUAGAUACCCUGGUAGUCCACGCCCUAAACGAUGUCUACUAGUUGUCGGGUUUUAAUUAACUUGGUAACGCAGCUAACGCGUGAAGUAGACCGCCUGGAUGCAU